Molecule: unclassified non-coding RNA, 348 nt
Filed under: soil metagenome
Description: partial contains 5.8S ribosomal RNA, internal transcribed spacer 2, and large subunit ribosomal RNA
Rfam family: 5.8S ribosomal RNA (bases 1-120)
Source: RNAcentral
GAUGAAGAACGCAGCAAAAUGCGAUAAGUAAUGGGAAUUGCAGAAUUCAGUGAAUCAUCGAAUCUUUGAACGCACAUUGCGCCCGCUGGUAUUCCGGCGGGCAUGCCUGUUCGAGCGUCAUUUCAACCCUCAAGCCCCCGGGUUUGGUGUUGGGGAUCGGCUCUGCCCUUCUGGGCGGUGCCGCCCCCGAAAUACAUUGGCGGUCUCGCUGCAGCCUCCAUUGCGUAGUAGCUAACACCUCGCAACUGGAACGCGGCGCGGCCAUGCCGUAAAACCCCAACUUCUGAAUGUUGACCUCGGAUCAGGUAGGAAUACCCGCUGAACUUAAGCAUAUCAAUAAGCGGAGGA